Molecule: non-coding RNA, 28 nt
Filed under: Mus musculus (house mouse)
Lineage: Eukaryota; Metazoa; Chordata; Mammalia; Rodentia; Muridae
Source: RNAcentral
UAACUGAGUAUUUUCUUAGGAGAGUGGA